RNAcentral lists this ribosomal RNA (497 nucleotides) under uncultured bacterium. Its description in RNAcentral is "partial 16S ribosomal RNA". It matches the Rfam family "Bacterial small subunit ribosomal RNA", at positions 28 to 507 of the family's 1533-position model. The record is from RNAcentral.
GAUGAACGCUGGCGGCGUGCCUAAUACAUGCAAGUCGAGCGAACGGACGAGAAGCUUGCUUCUCUGAUGUUAGCGGCGGACGGGUGAGUAACACGUGGAUAACCUACCUAUAAGACUGGGAUAACUUCGGGAAACCGGAUCUAAUACCGGAUAAUAUUUUGAACCGCAUGGUUCAAAAGUGAAAGACGGUCUUGCUGUCACUUAUAGAUGGAUCCGCGCUGCAUUAGCUAGUUGGUAAGGUAACGGCUUACCAAGGCAACGAUGCAUAGCCGACCUGAGAGGGGGGUAGGCGACACUGGAACGGAGACACGGUCCAGAGUCCUGAGGGAGGCAGCAGUAGGGAAUCUUACGCAAUGGGCGAAAGCAUGACGGAGCAACGCCGAGUGAGUGAUGAAGGUCUUCGGAGCGUAAAACUCUGUUAUUAGGGAAGAACAUAUGUGUAAGUAACUGUGCACAUCUUGACGGUACCUAAUCAGAAAGCCACGGCUAACUACGUG